Molecule: ribosomal RNA, 630 nt
Filed under: uncultured Bacilli bacterium
Lineage: Bacteria; Bacillati; Bacillota; Bacilli
Description: bacterial SSU rRNA
Rfam family: Bacterial small subunit ribosomal RNA
Source: RNAcentral
CGGACGGGUGAGUAACACGUGGGUAACCUACCUAUAAGACUGGGAUAACUUCGGGAAACCGGAGCUAAUACCGGAUAAUAUUUCGAACCGCAUGGUUCGAUAGUGAAAGAUGGCUCUGCUAUCACUUAUAGAUGGACCUGCGCCGUAUUAGCUAGUUGGUAAGGUAACGGCUUACCAAGGCAACGAUACGUAGCCGACCUGAGAGGGUGAUCGGCCACACUGGAACUGAGACACGGUCCAGACUCCUACGGGAGGCAGCAGUAGGGAAUCUUCCGCAAUGGGCGAAAGCCUGACGGAGCAACGCCGCGUGAGUGAUGAAGGUCUUCGGAUCGUAAAACUCUGUUAUUAGGGAAGAACAAACGUGUAAGUAACUGUGCACGUCUUGACGGUACCUAAUCAGAAAGCCACGGCUAACUACGUGCCAGCAGCCGCGGUAAUACGUAGGUGGCAAGCGUUAUCCGGAAUUAUUGGGCGUAAAGCGCGUGUAGGCGGUUUUUUAAGUCUGAUGUGAAAGCCCACGGCUCAACCGUGGAGGGUCAUUGGAAACUGGAAAACUUGAGUGCAGAAGAGGGAAGUGGAAUUCCAUGUGUAGCGGUGAAAUGCGCAGAGAUAUGGAGGAACACCAGUGGC